This 1042-nucleotide long non-coding RNA is filed under the name Homo sapiens (human). Its description in RNAcentral is "HSALNT0005848". Lineage: Eukaryota; Metazoa; Chordata; Mammalia; Primates; Hominidae. The record is from RNAcentral.
AUUUGGGUGAGGACACAGCCAAACCAUAUCACCCAUUUUCUAGGGAGGAAUUAAAGCCAGGCUGCAGAAAUUUGCAUAAGUAAAGAGGAGCCAAAUGUUAAUAGCCAAGACAAUGGGGAAAAUGCCAUAAAGACAUUUCAGAGACCUUUGCAGCAGCUCCUCCCAUCACAGGCCCAGAGGCCUGGGAGGGAAGAAUGGUUUUAUGGGCUGGACCCAGAGCCCCACUACCCUGUGCAACCUCAGGAUGCUGCUCCCUAUGUCUCAUCUGCUCCAGCUCCAGCCAUAGCUAAAAGGGUCCCAGAUAUGUCUCAGGCCACUGCUCCAGAAGGUGCAAGGCACAAGCCUUGACAGCUACCACAUGGCUCAUCAGUGGAAGGGAUUUACCUUGUCUCAGAUGAGACUUUGGACUGUGGACUUUUGAGUUAAUGCUGAAAUGAGUUAAAAUGUGGGGGACUGUUGAGAAGGGAUGAUUGGAUUCUGCGGUGUGAGAAGGACAUGUGAUUUAGUAGAGGCCGCAGGCAGAAUGAUAUGCUUUGGAUUUGUGUCCCUGCUGAACUCUCAUGUCAAAUUGUAAUUCCCAGUACUGGAGGAGGGGCCUGCUGGUGGGAGGUGACAGCGUGCUGGCAGCCCUUGCAGCCCCAAAGCUCACUCUCGGUGCCUCCUCGGCCUCAGUGCCCAUUCUGGCCAUGCUUGAGGAGCCCUUCAGCCCACUGCUGCACCGUGGGAGCCCUUCUCUGGGCUGGCCAAGGCCAGAGCCGGCACCCUCGGCUUGCAGGGAGGUGUGGAGGGAGAGACACGGGCAGGAACUGGGGCUGCGCGCAGCACUUGCGGGCCAGCUGGAGUUCCGGGUGGGCGUGGGCUUGGCGGCCUCACACUCAGAGUGGCUGGCCGGCCCUGCUGGCCCAGGCAGUGAGGGGCUUAGCACCUGGGCAAGCAGCUGCCGAUGGUGCGCCGGCUCCCCCAGCAGUGCUGGCCCACAGCGCUGCGAUGGAUUUCUCACCAGGCCUUAGCUGCCUCCCCACAGGGCAGGGCUCGGGACCUG